UGGCACCCCUACGUGGGACCCAAGAAUGGGGGACUUAGUGAUGGAUGCUGUUCAGGGGCCCAAAGUAGAAAAAGGAAAAGAGAGGACCAAUGUAGGAGCCUGCCACGCCGCUGAACCUCGGUAAUUGAACAGCGAUUAUGGGACAAGAAAUUAGCCAGCAUAGAUUUUUGUUGAAAAUUUUGUAAAACUUUUAAAGACACAAGGAGUUAAGGUGAAUAUUGAACAAUUAUGCCAAUACUUUGAUUUUAUACAAGAGGUUUGACCUU
This is a regulatory RNA element of Cavia porcellus (domestic guinea pig), 266 nucleotides long. It matches the Rfam family "Mason-Pfizer monkey virus packaging signal". From Rfam's summary of the family: The packaging signal is located in the 5' UTR and is required for specific RNA encapsidation. Lineage: Eukaryota; Metazoa; Chordata; Mammalia; Rodentia; Caviidae. The record is from Rfam.